CAGCCGCGGUAAUCCAGCUCCAAUAGCGUAUAUUUAAGUUGUUGCAGUUAAAAAGCUCGUAGUUGAAUUUCGGGACUAAUAUGUCGGUCGUGCCUCGGUACGUACUGGCUUAUUGGUUUCUCCUUUCUGAAGAACCAUGAUGUCAUUUAUUUGGUGUCGUGGGGAAUCAGGACUGUUACUUUGAAAAAAUUAGAGUGUUUAAAGCAGGCUCACGCUUGAAUACAUUAGCAUGGAAUAAUGAAAUAGGACGUUUGAUUCUAUUUUGUUGGUUUCUAGGAUCGACGUAAUGAUUAAUAGGGAUAGUUGGGGGCAUUAGUAUUCAAUUGUCAGAGGUGAAAUUCUUGGAUUUAUUGAAGACUAACUACUGCGAAAGCAUUUGCCAAGGAUGUUUUCAUUAAUCAAGAACGAAAGUUAGGGGAUCGAAGACGAUCAGAUACCGUCGUAGUCUUAACCAUAAACUAUGCCGACUAGGGAUCGGAUGAUGUUAAUUUUUUAAUGACUCAUUCGGCGCCUUACG
This 517-nucleotide unclassified non-coding RNA is filed under the name uncultured Glomeromycotina. Its description in RNAcentral is "SSU rRNA". It matches the Rfam family "Eukaryotic small subunit ribosomal RNA", at positions 571 to 1092 of the family's 1831-position model. The record is from RNAcentral. Lineage: Eukaryota; Fungi; Glomeromycota.